Small nucleolar RNA from Seriola dumerili (greater amberjack), 134 nucleotides. Lineage: Eukaryota; Metazoa; Chordata; Actinopteri; Carangiformes; Carangidae. The record is from Ensembl.
GCUGAGGUCUAUCCCGACAGACCUUUACCUGUAGGGCCGAGUCGUUGGAAAUGCCUCAGAGAGAAAAUCUGUAGUUUCGCUUUACCCACGUGUUCACUACCAUGAGCAUUGUGGGAUAUUACUGCAGGACACAU